RNAcentral lists this transfer RNA (77 nucleotides) under bacterium. RNAcentral describes it as "tRNA-Pro". It matches the Rfam family "tRNA". From Rfam's summary of the family: Transfer RNA (tRNA) molecules are approximately 80 nucleotides in length. Their secondary structure includes four short double-helical elements and three loops (D, anti-codon, and T loops). The record is from RNAcentral. RNAcentral also lists the same sequence under 2 other names.
CGGGGCGUGGCGCAGUCCGGUAGCGCACCUGCUUUGGGAGCAGGGGGUCGCGAGUUCGAAUCUCGCCGCCCCGACCA